AGCUCCAAUAGCGUAUAUUAAAGUUGCUGCAGUUAAAAAGCUCGUAGUUGCAUUUCCGAGGCAAGGGAUUAGUCCGACCUUUGGUGGGUAUUUAAUCCUCUUGCCUCGUCCUUGAGUGGUGCUUCUUGGUAUUAAGUUAUCGAGGAGAUAGCCGCUCAUCGUUUACUGUGAGAAAAUUAGAGUGUUCAAAGCAGGCUUAUGCCGUUGAAUAUAUUAGCAUGGAAUAAUAAGAUAGGACCUCGGUACUAUUUUGUUGGUUUGCGCACUAAGGUAAUGAUUAAGAGGGACAGUUGGGGGUAUUCGUAUUCAGUUGUCAGAGGUGAAAUUCUUAGAUUUACGGAAGACGAACUACUGCGAAAGCAUUUACCAAGGAUGUUUUCA
Molecule: ribosomal RNA, 381 nt
Filed under: uncultured marine Chaetocerotaceae
Lineage: Eukaryota; Bacillariophyta; Thalassiosirophyceae; Chaetocerotales; Chaetocerotaceae
Description: SSU rRNA
Rfam family: Eukaryotic small subunit ribosomal RNA
Source: RNAcentral